Thalassophryne amazonica is the source of this 3204-nucleotide long non-coding RNA. RefSeq lists it as uncharacterized. The transcript has 4 exons. The record is from RefSeq and is a predicted model, not a curated record. Lineage: Eukaryota; Metazoa; Chordata; Actinopteri; Batrachoidiformes; Batrachoididae.
GGCGGAGCCAGAGGAACGCUCACUUCCGCGUUGUACACAGGACGUUCCUGAUGCGAUCGCGAGGUGACGAUGAGCCUGGCAAAGAGGGUGUCACUGUGGUCGGUGGAAGACGUGUUGGAGUGGCUGCAGGAACAAUAUCCAACCCAAAUGAUCACGCUCCAAAAAGCCAUCAUUAAACACGAUAUAUCAGGUCGUGCAUUGCUCAGGAUGAAAGACUAUCACCUGGAAUCUUUUGGAGUGGAGCCUGAGGAGCAAGAGCCCAUCUUGCAGGAAAUCUUCCUUCUCAAAGUACAAGAAGAAAUCAGUGAGCUGAAUGACAUUUAUGAUGAAUGUUUUUCAUCAUACAGAUGAACAAAUGCAGCUUUUCCUUAUGUAUCCAUCCAUCCAUCCAUCUUUCGACGGAAAGGUAGGAGUGAUCGAAGUAAUGUCGGAAGAUGAAGAGAAUCGUGAGGAAUGAUGCGAAACACCAGUCUCCUGUGUAAUAUAUUACCGUGCAGAUGGAGUUGAUUCGUUUUACGAGUGUCUUCCUCUCUGUUCUUCUCCAUCAUCCUUCUGUUUCUGCAGUGAGUCUUUGGAAAUAUUUCUGUAGUCGUUACGAUUGCAGACAUGAGUUUACAUACUGUACACCUUGGCCAAAAAUGUUUCCCAUAGUGCACAUAUUACUUUUCAUCAGACAAUGUCUGUUAUGCUUCUUAGAAUGUGUACUUUAUUUCAACAUAAAGAUAUUUAGUUUAUUUACCACAUGCACUUAUCGCACUUUUUAUUCACUACGUCAGAUUUUCAGUUCUGUACAGUCUGUUAAAACCCAAAUUGACACCCAGGAAUGAACAAACCUUUGUUUUAAAGGUGUCCCAGAACCUCCUGAUCACAACUAUGGAAUUAGUGGAGUUGAAGGUAGUAGAUAAUGAAAAAGAAGAAAAACAUUCCAAGCUCAGACACAUUUCAGUUCACUUUUAAUCCUUUUUUGAAGAGAGACUGCCAUCUAUUGGGCUCAGAAAAAAAACACCAAAUGCUUCAUGAGGCCUUAUUUGGCCAUCACUAAAGUUGGACCGAAUGUGACAUCAUCCACUGACAUCAUCAACAAGGAAGCCAAACUCUCCAUUUAAAAAGUUUGGCAAAAAUUUGCUGUUGAUCGAAACUUUGCUUUUUUUUAAUACAUAUGUAUAAAUUUUGGAUUAUCCCAUGUUUUUACAUAAUAAACUAAAUUUGUUCAUGAUACCAUGAAUCUCAGAUGGUUCCUGAGAAGGAAUCAAACUUGUUGAGCUCUAGAGUUUUGUUUCAGAGGCAUUGGGUUGAUUUUUAGUUGUUUUUUUUUUCCAUUUCUUGAAUGAAAGAAGGGACUGGAUCUUCAGGUAGGCCCUUAAAUAGAACCAAAGGUUUCUUCUUCAGUUUCUUCUCAAAUUCUGCUAAUUAGUCAUUUGUGGAAUGUCCUGUAAUCUUCUUGGUGUAUGUAAAUGUACGUUAUAAAUUUUAUAAUCUGUCCAGCAUUCUGUUGAGUCAUGACCUGUCUUGAAUGUGUAAACUUCUUCAACACCUGGUUAAAUAUUCAGUCUUUCUCUUCCUGUUUUUCUCUUACAUACACUGACUGAAACAGAGUUUCCAAUCAAGCAAAUUGAGUGUCAUUCCUAGCACAUCAAACAGGAACUCUUAUCAGAGCCCCGAGGAUUUAAGUAGUGUGUGUUGAGGAUUUUCACCGACAUCGCGGUCAAAGGAACAUGGUUAGACUUAUGCCAUGUUUGCAACAUUGGUUUGCAGAAAACAACCCAGUGCUAUUGAAUUUUGAUGUUCAGUUCUGGCUUCCAAAGGAAUAUGAGGCUCCCAAAAAAUUAUUUUCACCAUCAGUUCUGUAAACACCGUGUGGUCUUGUAACUUGCAGUGUUUGUAAAGUAAAAGUGAUGUGGUCUUUCUGUUUCCAACCAACUCAGAGGUAGUGAAUAUACUUUGGUAAAUUAACUUGGUGUUAGGUUCUUUUAUGUGGUGAGUAAUCUCAAAAAGAACUGGACAGGAAACGGACUUCAAAGUUUAGAUGUUGUAUUGAAAAAGUUUGAACACUGAUACAGAGAGUCAUCUGCAGCGCUGAGGUCUUUGACCAGAUCACAUGCAAACAUCUAGAACAAAGAGCCCAGAUCUCCUAUCUAUGCUAACUUUUGUUCCUCCAGUCAGCCCCAUGUGGGUGGUCCUUAGCCUGUCGCGAAUCAGCAGCAAUGUGAUUGGUUGCAAAGUGAAGUAGGCGGUUAUAAGUGGGUGUCUGCUCACGUUAAGUUCAAGGUUGUUAUGUAAAAAUCUUAGUGUUUGUGUGUGUCAAUGCCAAAUAAUAAAUCAGCGUUUGUGCUGUCCAAAUACAUGCGAAUACUUUGGUUUUAUCAGUUAGACAGCUAUAAAAAUAUCAGAUAGUUUUUAUCAAAUACAAGGACAUUUUUUAUGUCAGCCAUUUUGAAAAGCAGUUAGGUAGAGAUCAGAGAGUUACAAGGACAUUUUGGAUGUGCGUCGGGUCCAGUUUGUGACAUGCAUCAUAGAACACUCUGAUACAUGAGUUUUAUUGUGUUUGUUUACUUAUAAAGCAUGAGGCAUUACUUUCCCAAUGUCUUUCAAGUAAACUCAACUUGUUAGACUUUACAGUGUAGCAUAAGGAUGUUCCAGCACAGCGGAUUCAUACUAAACCUUGAUACGCAAACUGACAGCACUGACAUUUUGUAUCAUUUUAACUUACGCGUUGUCCUGCACAGUGUUGGAUGGGGGACUGGGCUUUAAACUUUGGCAGAAAAGUCAGUAAAACUAAACUUAAAACUUCCUUAUAUCAUGGCAUGAAAAGAAGAUUAAUGUCAAUACUUUAGAGAAACCGUUGCACAAGCUCAAGCGCGGGUACUCUAGUGAGUCUAUGGGACCCGUCAAAGUGUUGUUAUUUGACGUGCUGGAAUGACAGUGUGUCUGUUUCAUUUCUUUGUACUUAAAUGUGUGAAUUCCAUAUCUUGUUACUUUUAGCUCAUCAAUAAUAUUUACUUCCACUGAAGAUGUAUAAAUAUAAGUGGUCCUGAAUGUUUCAUAGGCAUUUUUUGUUGAGUAAUAAUUUUAUGGUUGUUAUCCUGUAGCAGUUCAAACACACCUAAACUUUUGUGUUAUUUCAAAGGUCAUGCUUGCUUCUGAAUAUUUUUCUUUUCCAUUAAAGUGUCAUAUUUUGAUGGAAUAAAAAUAUUCUUGCUUUUA